Molecule: unclassified non-coding RNA, 331 nt
Filed under: soil metagenome
Description: partial contains 5.8S ribosomal RNA, internal transcribed spacer 2, and large subunit ribosomal RNA
Rfam family: 5.8S ribosomal RNA (bases 1-120)
Source: RNAcentral
GAUGAAGAACGUAGCGAAAUGCGAUAAGUAAUGUGAAUUGCAGAAUUCAGUGAAUCAUCGAAUCUUUGAACGCACAUUGCGCCCCCUGGUAUUCCGGGGGGCAUGCCUGUUCGAGCGUCAUUUCACCACUCAAGCCUCGCUUGGUAUUGGGCAACGCGGUCCGCCGCGUGCCUCAAAUCGACCGGCUGGGUCUUCUGUCCCCUAAGCGUUGUGGAAACUAUUCGCUAAAGGGUGUUCGGGAGGCUACGCCGUAAAACAACCCCAUUUCUAAGGUUGACCUCGGAUCAGGUAGGAAUACCCGCUGAACUUAAGCAUAUCAAUAAGCGGAGGA